CCGUCGGUUCGAGGUCCCUCCACCAGGAAGCUGUGGAUUUGGCACUCACGGGAAUUGCAGCGCACCGGGCUUCCUCCUCCGUCCAUCCUCCACACGAAACCCUGCGUCCCCUGUCACUCGCGUGAAUUCCUCCUCCGUCCGUCCUCCGCGCGAAACCCUACGUUGCCGCCAGCUCUCCCUCCCUUCGUCCUUCUCCCUACGUCGCCAGUUGCCGCCGCCCCUUCUUGCGUCACCAGCCGCCACCGCUCCUACUUGCCUUCUUCUAUCCGCGUCUCGCUCCCAAAGAAGCCGCCGCUCCCGCACGCCCGCACUCCAUCCCAGUCGCUGCCCGCGGCGCUGCCCCGUGGAGGUCGCGACGUCGUCACCGCACCUCGCCGGAUCUGAUGGCCGACCCCCCUACCUGCCUUCUUCUAUCCGUGUCUCGCUCCCAAAGAAGCCGCCACUCUCACACGCCCGCAUGCCCGCACUUCGUCCCGGUCGCUGCCCGCCGCGCUGCCCCAUGGAGGCCGCGACACCGUCGCCGCACCUCGUCGAAGCCACGCGCCUCGCUGGAUCUGACGGAAGACCCCUCCCCUACAUGCCUUCUUCUAUCCGCGUCUCACUCCCAAAGAAGCCGCUGCUUCCGCACACCCGCACUCUGUCCUGGUCGCUGCCGUGCUGUGGAGGAUCAGCCAACGUAGGGUCUGAACACUGAGCUACCAUGCUGUGGAGGAUCAGCCAAGGCAGGGUCUUAACACUUGUGUUUCAGGGGAGGGAGGCAGUUAAGGAGCUCCAUACGGCAGCUACACAAGGGUACAUUCCAUAGAUCAUCAUCAAACUCGGAAGAGGUGAAAUGUCUGCCUGGUGGUAAGGCCAAGAAAAAGGUUGUUCCCUACCGCUACUGUCUGUUAGAGUUUUAGCAAAAUGGGGUAUCUGUGGAUAGCUUUUUUCAUUGGUGGUACAGAGAAUUUCUUCAGUGACAAGAUGUUAUGAUUGAGAAUAUUCUAUUUUAUAAAAUCUUUGUAUGGUAGCAAAGUCGUCUCCUAGCAUUUUCCAUACUCACUUGAAAGAUAUUAUAGACAUUUGGUUUGGGUGCUGGGAUAAGGAGGAGAAUAUGCUUCCUAGAACUGCUAGAAAAAGUUAUUCUAAAGGUCAAGUAAUACACUUACCUAUAUUGCUUUGGUUUUAUAUUAUGUGGGAAAUGGUCUUGUUAUAAUUAUUUUGACCUAUCUAUCUUACAGAACACAUGGAUCACAACGUGGCCAACAUGCAUCUCAGCAUCAAAUUCUCACAUGGAAGCAGGUGAUAGCAUUCAGGGAUCGCACUAUAUGAAGGAGGGUCCACUGCUUUUCUGAUUGUGGAUCAACUGAUGAAGCUGCUUUUUGGACGGUUAGGACUUUGAGGAUCUGGAAGGGCAUCUUCAGAUGGUGUAUUUUCUCUAGAUCUAUGCUAAUGUCCUCCUGUGCUGAUGACAAUGACUUGGAAGAUGGUCUUUUUUGGCAAUGGCACACUCGGAUUCACAAACUUAUCUUCCAACAUCGAGUGGCACAUCAGGUUCUGGCUCGAUUGCCCGUGAAUCCGGGAGUCAGGCCUCAGGUAGAUGGUUGCAACGUGUUGAUAUGAAAAAUAGGUGGACAUAGACGACAGUACUUAAGAUGGUAAACAUCUGGAAGAGGGGCGCACUGGAUGUUGCCAUGCUAUUGGUGUUCGUGCUUUUCAACAACAGUUGCGUGCACCGCUGCAUCCCUACGCUCAACAUACCUGCUGCUAGCAACCCUUCGACAAACUCCUUAACAGGUGUUUGAGCAUUGCACAUUUAAUUGGAAGUUGGGGCAGCUGUAUUGCUGUGCACAAACUUCAUCGCCGACCACUCCAGUGGCAGGUUCUGAUGGCUACCAAUGGAAGUUGACUUGUUCAUUGUUGGCUUGAGAAGACAAUUGUUUUUUUAUAUACAAUGAUUUGUGCAUGAUUGUCCAUAUGAAAAUUAAUGCUUAUGGAGAUAAUUUGUUUCAACUGUAGCAAUAUAUGUGCAGUGUUUUUAAUA
This is a long non-coding RNA of Setaria italica (foxtail millet), 2023 nucleotides long. RefSeq lists it as uncharacterized. The transcript has 8 exons. The record is from RefSeq and is a predicted model, not a curated record. NCBI's taxonomy places the organism in Eukaryota, Viridiplantae, Streptophyta, Magnoliopsida, Poales, Poaceae.